RNAcentral lists this long non-coding RNA (793 nucleotides) under Sus scrofa (pig). Its description in RNAcentral is "lncRNA (ENSSSCG00030038143.1)". Lineage: Eukaryota; Metazoa; Chordata; Mammalia; Artiodactyla; Suidae. The record is from RNAcentral.
GGUUCCUGGUCCCCGGGAGAAGCCAAGAAGGUCCUGAGUUCAAGAGAAACAGGUGUCUAAACAGAAGUAAAAUCCUGUGGAAGUUUAGGAUAAUUGAAUUACUCGCAAAUUGGAGUAUCCUGGAAAACUUCCUGGAGGAAGUGGCCUGUGCUUUGUAUCAGGAAAAAUAGAUGGAAAAGUGGUGAUGACAGAAAAUUGUCUGUUGCUUUUGGAAAAGAAAGAAAAAAAAAAGUGACGUUUCCCUGUGUUUGACAUCCUCUUCCUUAAAGGUAUCAGAAUGGUGCGUGGGUUUGGUUUGAAGCUAAAGAAAGGAGAAAGAGCCAGAGAAGAAGAAAAAAAGAUUCCCUGCAGCCUGCCAGGGACGUGGUAACUGCCCUGCCAAGAGUGAUCCUGGGAGGGCUAUUGAAAGAGCUCUGAGGCCUCCUUGGCAUAUGGAAGUUCCCAGGCUAGGGGUGGAAUCCGAGCCACAUCCGUGACCUACACCGCAGCUCACGACAACGCUGGAUCAUCAACCCACUGAGUGAGGCCAGAGAUCGAACCCGAGUUUUCCUGCACACCAGUUAGGUUUGUUACCACUGAGCCGCAACAGGAACUCCCAGGAGCUUUAUGAGUGAAUGAAUAAAUGCAUCAUUCCACCCCCACCUCACCGCCGCCACCCCGGGGGAGAGAGUCUACAGCUUUUAGCAGAAUCUCAAAGUUUUUUGUAACGCAGGAAGGUUGAGGAAGCUGAUCCAGGCAAUCUCGAUGUAUAAGUGGGUACUCUAAGGCCCAGAGAGGGCCAGGGACUGGUUCA